CACUUCGGGUGGGAACUCCAGGGAGACCCCGGUGAUAAACCGGAGGAAGGUGGGGACGACGUCAAGUCAUCAUGGCCCUUACGAGUAGGGUUACACACGUGUUACAAUGGAGCAUACAGAGGGCGGCCAACUUGCGAAAGUGAGUGAAUCCAAAAAAGUGGGUCGUAGUCCGGGUUGGAGUAUGCAACUUGACUCCAUGAAGUUGGAGUCGUUUUUUAUUGUGGAUCUCCCCCACCCCGUGAAUAUUUUCCCGGGCUUUGUACACCUUCCCCGUCACCACAAGGGAGUGGGUUGCAAAAGAAGUGGGUAGUUUAACCUUCGGGAGGACGCCCACCACUUUGUGGUUCCCAACGGGUUUAAGUAGCAACAAUGAAACCCAAGGGGGAA
Molecule: ribosomal RNA, 387 nt
Filed under: uncultured bacterium
Lineage: Bacteria
Description: bacterial SSU rRNA
Rfam family: Bacterial small subunit ribosomal RNA
Source: RNAcentral